GAUGAACGCUGGCUACAGGCUUAACACAUGCAAGUCGAGGGGAAACGACGGGGGAGCUUGCUUCUCCGGGUGUCGACCGGCGGACGGGUGAGUAACGCGUAUCCCUCCUGCCUCUGACUGAGGGUUAACCAGUCGAACGUAGGCCUAAUACCUCAUGGAAUCGUCUGCGUACAUUUAUCAACGCUUAAUGUUUUCAUAGGUAAGGGCUGGGGAUGGGGCGGAUUAGCUUGUUGGCGGGGUCACGGCCUACCUAGGCUACGAUCAGUAGGGGUUCUGAGAGGAAGGUCCCCCGCAUGGGAGCGGGGACACGGGCCAAACUCCUACGGGAGGCAGCAGUGAGGAGUAUUAGUCAAUGGGCGGGAGCCUGAACCAGCCAAGUAGCGUGCAGAGUGACGGUGCUAGGAGGUGUAAGCUGCUGGUAUGCGAGGAUAAAGUGAGGGACGUGGCCUUCAUUGACGGUACCGCAUGAAUAAGGACCGGCUAAUUCCGUG
This 491-nucleotide ribosomal RNA is filed under the name uncultured bacterium. RNAcentral's name for it is "partial 16S ribosomal RNA". It matches the Rfam family "Bacterial small subunit ribosomal RNA", at positions 28 to 507 of the family's 1533-position model. The record is from RNAcentral.